Molecule: non-coding RNA, 1066 nt
Organism: Vicugna pacos (alpaca)
Lineage: Eukaryota; Metazoa; Chordata; Mammalia; Artiodactyla; Camelidae
Source: RefSeq, a predicted model, not a curated record
UCAUCCUCCCCACGACCCUUCCGAGGCGGUAUUGCCAUGAGCCACGUUUGCAAAUGAAAACCUCCAGCCUCACGGAAGAGAGUGAUUUGGCCAAGCUGGCUCAGCCGGGAAGGAAGAGUGGGCAGAUUUGAAUGCAGCACUUCCCCCCCCCUUCUUCUUUUACUCUACUUUGCGGGGAUCUCGACCCCUAGGGCAUCAAAGAAGGUAAUUUGCGCCCAGUGAUGUGAUUCUUCCGAGCAGCCCCGGGGGCGCCUCCUGGGGAGCGGCUGGGCGCGGGGCGUCAGCUGCGCUUAGUGGUGCAGGCGAAGGCGGGUUUGUCUGCCUGCGGUCCCUGUUUCUCCCCUUUGAUUCUCCCUCCUCCUGGAGCCCCAGAUUCUUAACACUUCCCACGUCUUGACAAAUGGCGACGCCACCGACAUAAAGACAAUCUUAAGCAAACUUGUGCAGUGGGCUUGUGCAGUGAUUUCUCCCGCUCCUAGAGCCGAAGGUCCAGCAGUCACCGGCUGAACCUGGAGGAACCUCACUGGGUCACCUUCAGUGAACUGGAGAAACUUGUUCUGACCAGGGGCUGAGACCUGAACGCUCCUUGGCUGCUUCCUCACUGGAGCUAUGCUGAGUGCCCAACUGUCUACUGAGAAAUAAAGUGGAAGUGACCCAGUAAGAAAGGAAAAUGUGCAUGGCCUGCCCUGGUCACACAAUUAAAACAUAUACGCUGGCCAAAGGUACAUCAGGGCUCCACCCAUCCCUUCAGAGAGAGAAGGGCCCUUUUUGACCUGGAAGCCUAUUAAAGCAUUCCACAAGAGAAUUCUCUGCGCCUUCCGAGGGGACACUGUGAGAAAACCUUGUUCCUUAGAAUGCAGACACACAAAGGGUUUUGUGCAAAUACUGAGCUCUGAUUCUCUAAAUGCAAAGAAGCAUUAGGGAUGGUAUGUGAACAAAAGGCUGGACAGAGGAUGCACGCCCAGAUGCUGUCUUGGCCAGGUUGCAAUCUGAAUGAUCUAAUGUUUUCUGGCUCCCUCUUGCUUGGCUUUUCCAAUUUGGUUUGAAUAUUUGCAUUACUGUAUUA